RNAcentral lists this ribosomal RNA (433 nucleotides) under uncultured bacterium. Its description in RNAcentral is "partial 16S ribosomal RNA". It matches the Rfam family "Bacterial small subunit ribosomal RNA", at positions 29 to 507 of the family's 1533-position model. The record is from RNAcentral.
AACGAACGCUGGCGGCAGGCCUAACACAUGCAAGUCGAGCGAGGACUUCGGUUCUAGCGGCGGACGGGUGAGUAACGCGUGGGAAUGUGCCCUUCUCUACGGAAUAGCCCUGGGAAACUGGGAGUAAUACCGUAUACGCCCUAUUGGGGAAAGAUUUAUCGGAGAAGGAUCAGCCCGCGUUGGAUUAGGUAGUUGGUGGGGUAAUGGCCUACCAAGCCGACGAUCCAUAGCUGGUUUGAGAGGAUGAUCAGCCACACUGGGACUGAGACACGGCCCAGACUCCUACGGGAGGCAGCAGUGGGGAAUCUUAGACAAUGGGGGCAACCCUGAUCUAGCCAUGCCGCGUGAGUGAUGAAGGCCUGAGGGUUGUAAAGCUCUUUCAGCUGGGAAGAUAAUGACGGUACCAGCAGAAGAAGCCCCGGCUAACUCCGUG